AGAGUUUGAUCAUGGCUCAGGACGAACGCUGGCGGCGUGGAUUAGGCAUGCAAGUCGAACGGUAUAAACCUUUCGGGGUUUAGAGAGUGGCGAACGGGUGAGUAACACGUAGGUAAUCUACCCUCAAAACGGGGACAACCCAGGGAAACUUGGGCUAAUACCGGAUGCGUGCAAGCAAUGUUUUGGCUGUUAAUGCUAUUCACGGAAGUGAGUAGUGUUAAUGGUUGAGAGCAUUAUUUGCAUAAAAGGUGGCGUAUGCUGCCGUUUGAGGAUGAGCCUGCGUCCUAUUAGUUAGUUGGUGAGGUAAUGGCUUACCAAGGCGAUGAUAGGUAGGCGGCCUUAACGGGUGGUCGCCCACACUGGGAUUGAGAGACGGCCCAGACUCCUACGGGAGGCAGCAGUCGAGAAUAGUCUACAAUGGACGGAAGUCUGAUAGUGCGACGCCGCGUGAACGAAGAAUCCCUUCGGGGUGUAAAGUUCUUUUAUACGUGAGCAGUGCCCUUUAUAUGAAUAGUAUAGAGGGAGGGAUUUAAGCGUAUGAAUAAGCAACGGCUAACUCCGUGCCAGCAGCCGCGGUAACACGGGGGUUGCAAGCGUUGUCCGGAAUUACUAGGCGUAAAGUGCAGGUAGGCGGAUAGAUAAGUUUAAGGUUAAAGGCUACGGCUUACCCGUAGUAAGGCGUUAGAUACUGUUUAUCUGGAAUGCGGUUGAGGGAGACAGAAUUCCUGGUGUAGCGGUGGAAUGCGCAGAGAUCAGGAGGAAUACCGAAGGCGAAGGCAGUCUUCUAAGCCGAUAUUGACGCUAAACUGCGAAGGUGUGGGGAUCAAACAGGAUUAGAUACCCUGGUAGUCCACACAGUAAACGAUAAUCACUAGGUGUUGGGUUCGUAUAGGACUCGGUGCCGGAGCUAACGCGAUAAGUGAUUCGCCUGGGGAGUACGAUCGCAAGGUUGAAACUCAAAUGAAUUGACGG
Molecule: ribosomal RNA, 972 nt
Filed under: bacterium enrichment culture clone HB_116
Lineage: Bacteria
Description: bacterial SSU rRNA
Rfam family: Bacterial small subunit ribosomal RNA
Source: RNAcentral